UAAGUGCCUAUGAUUGUGGCAGUAGUUGUUACUAUUAUGAUGGUUGAAAUUAUGAGACAAACCCAUGUGAUGAUUCUUAGAAUUAGAGCUAUGAUUGCCAUCAAUGAAGAGGAGGAUGGCGCCUGUGCUGGUUGCGGCUGUGGCGGUGCCUCCUCAUCAGGCUGCGGUGGUGCCGUAGGUCGUGACAUGUUUUGAAAAGUAAUGAAAACUCUGCUCGUUUAAGGCUGAUAAUGCUUAUAAUAUAUUGCAGAUGGUGAUUUAUAUAUAUGUACGAUUUUUAUUAGUUUCUGAUUUGUAUAUUAUCAAUGUGUAGUUACAUGAACUUGCUGAUCAUUUUGUCCCUAAGUUAUGUCUUUAGUUCGACGCCUUGUUGACAGCUCACUUGGAGCACACAACCAAGCUAGCUGUAGUUUUUUAAUUUUUUUUUUCUGAAAAUUGUAUUCAUGAUACAUAAGAAUUGGGAUUAUCCCAUUUGAAAUAGACAAUGAACUUGUGGUGACA
Molecule: long non-coding RNA, 501 nt
Filed under: Olea europaea (common olive)
Lineage: Eukaryota; Viridiplantae; Streptophyta; Magnoliopsida; Lamiales; Oleaceae
Description: long non-coding RNA (OEUR_LNC010527)
Source: RNAcentral